Molecule: unclassified non-coding RNA, 1304 nt
Filed under: Hevea brasiliensis (rubber tree)
Lineage: Eukaryota; Viridiplantae; Streptophyta; Magnoliopsida; Malpighiales; Euphorbiaceae
Source: RNAcentral
ACGUAUUCUAUAAGCAAAACAAAAAAGAACUUAUAGAAGAAAAGGCACACAACAAAACUAGACAAGACAACAUUCAACACACAUACCAGCACCUAGAAUCAAUUAGUGAAGAAAUUGCCUAGACAUUAACGCUACAAACACAUUGCCAUUGGCAAGGCAAUAACAAGUAGGCAAGGUUACCUUGCAAGUGACAUAAUGCAACACUCCAUGCCAGAUUUAUCAGGCUGAGUAUAAAAUUUUAGGACAUUCAAAUUGGUAAAUUAUCAUUCUACAGAGCAUGCAAAACUGAGAUCUCAAUAAAGAAGAAAAAAACAGAGUAUAAAAAGAGCAUAAGCAACAAUAAUAUUUCAGGACUCUUGCACUGCUGUUUACUCGUCAUCCUCAUCAUCAUCGUCAUUUCCAGCAGCUGAAUUCAAAGCAUUCAGUCUCUCAAUCAACUUAGCCUUCCUUUCCUCGUAUGUUAGCUUCUUCAGAUUAUACCUCUUGUGCUGUUUAGGAGGUUGCUUCUCAGAUUUCUUUGGGCUUGGAUCAGCACGAAUGGCAGCAUGAACCUUCUUGUACAUCUCCUCAAGGCCAUCAGCCUCAAAACCCUUUUUGAUGUACUGACUAAAGUGUGUCUGAUAUUUCUCUGGUUCAUCUUCAAUUAGAGUCUGCAUAUAUGUAGCAACGUGGCCACCAUAUAUGUACUUGCGGUGAACAUCAGCAUCAAGUUGCUUGGAAUCCUUGCUGAAUCCAGCGAACCUCUUCUCACUGUGAGGAAUAUCAAGUCCACCAUCCAAUGCACCCUUGAGAGCACCAAACACACGGUUCCCUGUAGUAGUUCUUAAGAGGCCGACGUCCAAGAGAGCACGGAAAGGCCUCCUGCUUUCAGCAGGUUCAACAGAGUAGUCCUCUCCAUUGACAUCAAGAUUUCCUUGAUAUUCUUCAUCCAUUUCAAGCUUCUUGAGAACUCGCCUUGCCAAGAGAAGUCCGGUACAGUAUGCAGCAGCAUAGUUUGUCAAUCCAACUUUCAGUCCAAAAUGAGGCAACUCACUUGCAUAAGCAGAAGCAAGAAUCAUGUCACCAGCAAUACUAGCAGACACAAUUUGUGUAACUAUGUCCUUGUUAGUAAAUCGAACAACGAAACGGUAUUUUGGAGUGUUGUACUUGUUUUUGUCCUGAUUGAUCAAACGAUUCCUGGCUCUGUAGUCAGUCUUUCCCUCUCUCCUUCUCUUGAAUUUAACCUGGAAACGCUUGAAGUAAGCCCUUGUCUUCUGGACUUUGAUGAAGGCCAUUGCUGUUCGUCGAUUAAGCCUCCGCCGGCG